Molecule: ribosomal RNA, 1095 nt
Filed under: Vibrio sp. 778M
Lineage: Bacteria; Pseudomonadati; Pseudomonadota; Gammaproteobacteria; Vibrionales; Vibrionaceae
Description: bacterial SSU rRNA
Rfam family: Bacterial small subunit ribosomal RNA
Source: RNAcentral
CGCAGCCUGAUCAGCCAUGCCGCGUGUGUGAAGAAGGCCUUCGGGUUGUAAAGCACUUUCAGUCGUGAGGAAGGUGGUGUAGUUAAUAGCUGUAUUAUUUGACGUUAGCGACAGAAGAAGCACCGGCUAACUCCGUGCCAGCAGCCGCGGUAAUACGGAGGGUGCGAGCGUUAAUCGGAAUUACUGGGCGUAAAGCGCAUGCAGGUGGUUUGUUAAGUCAGAUGUGAAAGCCCGGGGCUCAACCUCGGAAUAGCAUUUGAAACUGGCAGACUAGAGUACUGUAGAGGGGGGUAGAAUUUCAGGUGUAGCGGUGAAAUGCGUAGAGAUCUGAAGGAAUACCGGUGGCGAAGGCGGCCCCCUGGACAGAUACUGACACUCAGAUGCGAAAGCGUGGGGAGCAAACAGGAUUAGAUACCCUGGUAGUCCACGCCGUAAACGAUGUCUACUUGGAGGUUGUGGCCUUGAGCCGUGGCUUUCGGAGCUAACGCGUUAAGUAGACCGCCUGGGGAGUACGGUCGCAAGAUUAAAACUCAAAUGAAUUGACGGGGGCCCGCACAAGCGGUGGAGCAUGUGGUUUAAUUCGAUGCAACGCGAAGAACCUUACCUACUCUUGACAUCCAGAGAACUUUCCAGAGAUGGAUUGGUGCCUUCGGGAACUCUGAGACAGGUGCUGCAUGGCUGUCGUCAGCUCGUGUUGUGAAAUGUUGGGUUAAGUCCCGCAACGAGCGCAACCCUUAUCCUUGUUUGCCAGCGAGUAAUGUCGGGAACUCCAGGGAGACUGCCGGUGAUAAACCGGAGGAAGGUGGGGACGACGUCAAGUCAUCAUGGCCCUUACGAGUAGGGCUACACACGUGCUACAAUGGCGCAUACAGAGGGCAGCAAGCUAGCGAUAGUGAGCGAAUCCCAAAAAGUGCGUCGUAGUCCGGAUUGGAGUCUGCAACUCGACUCCAUGAAGUCGGAAUCGCUAGUAAUCGUGGAUCAGAAUGCCACGGUGAAUACGUUCCCGGGCCUUGGACACACCGCCCGUCACACCAUGGAAGUGGGCUGCAAAAAAGUUAGGUAGUUUAACCUUUCGGAAGGACCUUACCCUUGUGG